GCCCCUUUGUGCUGUGCUGGGGACAGCGCUCACCUCACGCCCUUGCAGAUGUGGCACCGGGCGAUGCGGUUGGUGGACAUCAGGACGGGUUGAGGUGUGACUGGAUGAUCUUACAGCACCCAAUCCUUCCUAACCCACGGCUCACCCAUCAGCCACCAUUCAUCUGAACAGCUGUACUGGGAAAUCACACUGAGAAGGCACAGUAACAGUGAUUAAAUGCCAUGUCUGCUCUCUGCUUGGCUCUGGUUCCCGCAAACCUAAUCAUGUAAGAGCAGAGGAAAAGAGAAACCUUUCCAAGCAUGGCUAAACCCAUUAAAAGGAGACAUGAUGCCACACCCAAGAGGCAAAUAAAAUAGAAAUGCACAUCUGGGCUGCUGUAAAACAGCCUCUGUAA
This is a long non-coding RNA of Gallus gallus (chicken), 394 nucleotides long. RefSeq lists it as uncharacterized. The transcript is spliced from 2 exons. Lineage: Eukaryota; Metazoa; Chordata; Aves; Galliformes; Phasianidae. The record is from RefSeq and is a predicted model, not a curated record.